AUUGUGAAUCAGUAUGUUCGAAAACAUGGCGGUAAAACCUUUUCAGCACGAAUCACUGUUAACGGUAAUUUUUCAUUGUGAGUCCAGCCAUAUGUUUUCACAAACUUAAACAAAAAAAAGUACACACAAUUUUUCACGUACACCUACGUCAUAUCCUGCGCAUUUUCUUCUCGCUAUCAUUAUCACUGUUGUUAGCAACCAGAUUGAAAUAUUGAAAAUGUGUCUUUUCGCGCUUCAAAAAUUGUAAACCACCAAGCUGUUUUGAUUUAAACUGAAGAGCUUUAGGCAACCACGUUAUUAUAUUUUGUCAAAAUGUCUAGCACAUUUUCAAAAGAGCUUUUGAAAAUAGCCGUGGCUCGAAUUUGUAGUACUUUAGGUUGGAAUUCAAUACUGGCGAUUCCUUUGGAAAUUAUGAUUGAUAUCCUCGAUAGACAUUUACGAGCUGUUUGCAAGGAAACAAAAAUAAAUUGUGAAAUAGCUGGCCGUACCCAACCACUUGUAUCUGACGUUCACCUGGCUCUGCAACAACUCAGCACAAACAUUCAAGAGAUAUCAGAAUAUAUGGAGAAUGUUCAGCCUGCAAAGUUCCCUCAGCAAGUUCCAAAAUAUCCUGUGGCUUGCGAUUCUCACUUGAACGUUGUUGAAUUUGCUACAUGAUAAUUUUGUCUCCAAUACCACACUGCUUUCGUGAGGAACUUAAACACUGUUCUAGUCGGUGGAAGAAGUGUUGGAAGGAGUUUGAGGGUCACAUGGACCAAUAAGUUUUACAUAAACAUUAAAAAAAAAUUAUCUGAAUUUUUAACAAUAUUUAUUGAUAUACUGCUUAAAGAAAACUUAUAAAACUUCAACAAUUACUGAAUAACUGCUGAGAGGUUUUAAAAAAAUUUGAAAUGAUUGAUUAAAAAUUAAAAAAAAAAAAAAGUUUGGCAUACACCGUUUCUUGGCUUCUGGGUUAAGGCCAUAUUAACACAUUAAUGUGCCUGAUGUUUCAGCAUGCCUUUCUGCAGCCAUCUUCAAGGAUGAUAAUUAAAAACUGCCUAUGAAAACCUGAAAUGAAGUGUGUGAAAAUUUACCCCCGCAAAAAAAAAAUUAACUUUUAAAACCUUGAACUUUGAGCACAAAAUAAAUUUAGCUAUCUGGUGGUCGUGGAGUCAGAAAAGCUGAACAUAUUAUUUGAUGCUUACCCAACAUGCCAGGUCACAUUCUAUAUAAUUAUUUACCAUCAGAUUUCUAUUAUAAAACAAUAUUUUAUGAAAUAAGUUAAGGAAAACAUAUUCUGUCAAUGCAAUUCAUUUGAAAAAUACUUUAAAUCUAUUUUCUUUAGCUCACUACACCUUGAGAAAGUAUUUUUUCUUAACACUGGUGUGGUAGCUAUAAUGUGAGUGGAAGGUAUUGCAGUUUGUAUUACAGACCCAGUACCAUACUGUUAACCCAAGAAGUCCUUAUUGUGAUAAUGUAGAAAACAGAUCUUUAUUAAUGUUUUUUAAAAUUCAGUUAUUGUGUGCCUUUGGAAUUGCAUAGCUUAUUUUGAGUUGUUUCCCCCCCCCCCCCCCCCCCCCCCAUAUUUAGAGAAUGUUGUCUAACUAAUAUUAAUUUUGUUUCAAACUAUUGGUUGGUUAAUGUGUUAACGAUUAUUUAUAAAAAAAGUAUGCAAGUUCUAAAAAUUCUAAUUUAGGCCAUUAUUUCUUGUAGGUAUACUGUAAGUUUGUUGCUGUUUAAGUUUGGAAUAUUCUUUCUGAUCAGUUGGCCCAAGAUUGCUCAAUCUCUUGUUUAGCUCGGGUCCACGGCAGCAUAUGUGCUGAAUCGUAUGACUUGGCCAUCAAUUGGAUUGAAUUGUGCUGUUGUGAACUGCAUAAAUUUAAAUAAUACUCGUUUGUAAUUUUGCUAUGUACAAUAGUUGUGAUUGGUGGAAAAACUGCAAGAUGGGGAUAUGAAGCUUUGGUUUGCAGAUUCUUUCUGAAGUAGGGGUAGUGAAGCCAAACUUCAGUGACAUCACUGCUUCCUCUUUUUUAAUAUUUUGUCUCUUGAACCUACAAACGUGGUUACGAGAGUCACUCACUUUUUUGGUCCAUGGCUAGAAAGGCAAUGCAGCAUUAUUUUAACAAAUCAUUGGUGCCAGCCCUUUUCAGUGCCCUGUGAUGAAAUUUUUUUAAUAUAGUUUCAUUGAACGUAUAUAACUUCAAGAAAGGUAAAAUUCUCAGUCAAAAUUUAUUUUUAUUUGUUGAUACUUGUUGCUAACAAUAAUAUCACAAGCACUAUAAAAGAGGUUUUAGUACAUAUUCUGUGAAUACGUUUCAGCCAGAAUUUCCAAUUUAGUGCAGCAAUAUAUAAACUCCAUCCUUUUGUGAUGAUGCUAUCACAUCUCCCAGUUAUGAGACUAGUUGACUACCCAUAUGACUGAACACAUUUUAUAAAAUUAAGCAAAUACAGUAUGGUAGUGUUACCUGAGUUGAACAGUGAUUAUAGAAGUGUGUAAUUUAAUUAAUGGGAAAAUGUAUGCAAGCAAUUUAGCUUGCAAAGGCAUGUCUAGCAUGAGGAUGUAUGUGUGUAUAUAUGUACAAACACAAAUUUUAAAUAAAACUUAACUGCACAGUU
Long non-coding RNA from Bacillus rossius redtenbacheri, 2595 nucleotides. RefSeq lists it as uncharacterized. The record is from RefSeq and is a predicted model, not a curated record. Lineage: Eukaryota; Metazoa; Arthropoda; Insecta; Phasmatodea; Bacillidae. The transcript is spliced from 2 exons.